CAGUCGCCGCGGGAAUACGAAGGGGGCUAGCGUUGCUCGGAAUGACUGGGCGUAAAGGGCGCGUAGGCGGAUCAUACAGUCAGAUGUGAAAUUCCUGGGCUUAACCUGGGGGCUGCAUUUGAGACGUGUGGUCUAGAGUAUGAAAGAGGGUCGUGGAAUUCCCAGUGUAGAGGUGAAAUUCGUAGAUAUUGAGAAGAACACCGGUGGCGAAGGCGGCGACCUGGUUCAUAACUGACGCUGAGGCGCGAAAGCGUGGGGAGCAAACAGGAUUAGAUACCCCUGUAGUCCCUGUCUCUUAUAC
RNAcentral lists this ribosomal RNA (301 nucleotides) under uncultured bacterium. Its description in RNAcentral is "partial 16S ribosomal RNA". It matches the Rfam family "Bacterial small subunit ribosomal RNA", at positions 509 to 807 of the family's 1533-position model. The record is from RNAcentral.